This 72-nucleotide transfer RNA is filed under the name Podarcis lilfordi (Lilford's wall lizard). Its description in RNAcentral is "tRNA.Lys". Lineage: Eukaryota; Metazoa; Chordata; Lepidosauria; Squamata; Lacertidae. The record is from RNAcentral.
GCUGGGAUAGCUCAGUCGGUACAGCAUGAAACUCUUUAUCUAGGGUUGUGGGUUUGAGCCCCACAUUGGGCA